RNAcentral lists this ribosomal RNA (459 nucleotides) under uncultured bacterium. RNAcentral's name for it is "partial 16S ribosomal RNA". It matches the Rfam family "Bacterial small subunit ribosomal RNA", at positions 338 to 795 of the family's 1533-position model. The record is from RNAcentral.
CCUACGGGUGGCAGCAGUGAGGAAUAUUGGUCAAUGGGCGUAAGCCUGAACCAGCCAAGUCGCGUGAGGGAUGAAGGUUCUAUGGAUCGUAAACCUCUUUUAUAAGGGAAUAAAGUGCGGGACGUGUCCCGUUUUGUAUGUACCUUAUGAAUAAGGAUCGGCUAACUCCGUGCCAGCAGCCGCGGUAAUACGGAGGAUCCGGGCGUUAUCCGGAUUUAUUGGGGUUAAAGGGUGCGUAGGCGGAUUUUUAAGUCAGCGGUAAAAUGUCCGGUCUCAACCCGGGCCGGCCGUUGAAACUGGGGAUCUUGAGUGAGCGAGAAGUAUGCGGAAUGCGUGGUGUAGCGGUGAAAUGCAUAGAUAUCACGCAGAACUCUGAUUGCGAAGGCAGCAUACCGGCGCUCAACUGACGCUCAUGCACGAAAGUGUGGGUAUCGAACAGGAUUAGAUACCCGGGUAGUC